GCACUGCUUACGAGCCCAAAACAGGACGAAACAGCUGUCCAGUAC
RNAcentral lists this non-coding RNA (45 nucleotides) under Echinostoma caproni. The record is from RNAcentral. Lineage: Eukaryota; Metazoa; Platyhelminthes; Trematoda; Plagiorchiida; Echinostomatidae.